GCGGUCUUUCAAGUCCGAUGCUAAAGACUGGGGCUCAACCCCAGGGGUGCGUUGGAUACUGUGAGGCUAGACGGUCGGAGGGGGUAGCGGAAUUUCCGGAGUAGCGGUGAAAUGCGCAGAUACCGGAAGGAACGCCAAUAGCGAAGGCAGCUACCUGGACGACUUGUGACGCUGAGGCGCGAAAGCGUGGGGAGCAAACCGGAUUAGAUACCCGGGUAGUCCACGCCCUAAACCAUGAGUGCUGGGUGUCCGGCUUCUGCUGGGUGCCGUAGCUAACGCGCUAAGCACUCCGCCUGGGAAGUACGCACGCAAGUGUGAAACUCAAAGGAAUUGACGGGGGCCCGCACAAGCGGUGGAGCAUGUGGUUUAAUUCGAAGCGACGCGAAGAACCUUACCAGGCCUUGACAUGCCCGGAACCCCUCUGAAAGGAGGGGGUGCCCGCAAGGGAGCCGGGACACAGGUGCUGCAUGGCCGUCGUCAGCUCGUGUCGUGAGAUGUUGGGUUAAGUCCCGCAACGAGCGCAACCCCUAUCCCUAGUUGCCAGCAGUUCGGCUGGGCACUCUAUGGAGACUGCCUGCGAAAGCAGGAGGAAGGCGGGGAUGACGUCUGGUCCGCAUGGCCCUUACGGCCUGGGCGACACACGUGCUACAAUGCCAAGGACAGAGCGCUGCUACCUCGCGAGAGGACGCCAAUCGCAAAAACCUUGGCUCAGUUCGGAUUGGAGUCUGCAACUCGACUC
Molecule: ribosomal RNA, 739 nt
Filed under: uncultured Thermaceae bacterium
Lineage: Bacteria; Thermotogati; Deinococcota; Deinococci; Thermales; Thermaceae
Description: bacterial SSU rRNA
Rfam family: Bacterial small subunit ribosomal RNA
Source: RNAcentral